Molecule: ribosomal RNA, 595 nt
Filed under: Apiotrichum porosum
Lineage: Eukaryota; Fungi; Basidiomycota; Tremellomycetes; Trichosporonales; Trichosporonaceae
Description: eukaryotic LSU rRNA
Rfam family: Eukaryotic large subunit ribosomal RNA
Source: RNAcentral
AAACUAACAAGGAUUCCCCUAGUAACGGCGAGUGAACCGGGAAGAGCUCAAAUUUGAAAUCUGGCAGUCUUCGAUUGUCCGAGUUGUAAUCUAUAGAAGCGUUUUCCGUGCUGAACUGUGUAUAAGUCCCUUGGAACAGGGUAUCAAAGAGGGUGACAAUCCCGUACUUUACACAAUCAUCAGUGCUCUGUGAUACGUUCUCUACGAGUCGAGUUGUUUGGGAAUGCAGCUCAAAAUGGGUGGUAAAUUCCAUCUAAAGCUAAAUAUUGGCGAGAGACCGAUAGCGAACAAGUACCGUGAGGGAAAGAUGAAAAGCACUUUGGAAAGAGAGUUAAACAGUACGUGAAAUUGUUGAAAGGGAAACGAAAUUCAUGAAUCAUGUUUAUUGGACUCAGCCGUUCUUCGGUGUACUUCCUUUAAACGGGUCAACAUCAGUUUUGUCCGAUGGAUAAAGGUAGUAGGAAGGUGGCUCUCUCGGGAGUGUUAUAGCCUAUUGCUGCAUACAUUGGAUGAGACUGAGGACUGCAGCUUGCCUUUAUGGCCGGGGUUCGCCCACGUUCAAGCUUAGGAUGUUGACAUAUUCUCGAAUCACGAC